Molecule: transfer RNA, 90 nt
Filed under: Rickettsiales bacterium
Lineage: Bacteria; Pseudomonadati; Pseudomonadota; Alphaproteobacteria; Rickettsiales
Description: tRNA-Ser
Rfam family: tRNA
About the family: Transfer RNA (tRNA) molecules are approximately 80 nucleotides in length. Their secondary structure includes four short double-helical elements and three loops (D, anti-codon, and T loops).
Source: RNAcentral
GGAGAAAUGGCCGAGCGGCUGAAGGCACUUUCCUGCUAAGAAAGUAUACGGGUAACUGUAUCGAGGGUUCGAAUCCCUCUUUCUCCUCCA